RNAcentral lists this ribosomal RNA (466 nucleotides) under uncultured bacterium. RNAcentral's name for it is "partial 16S ribosomal RNA". It matches the Rfam family "Bacterial small subunit ribosomal RNA", at positions 28 to 507 of the family's 1533-position model. The record is from RNAcentral.
GACGAACGCUGGCGGCGUGCUUAACACAUGCAAGUCGAACGGAAAGGCCCAGCUUGCUGGGGACUCGAGUGGCGAACGGGUGAGUAACACGCGGGUGAUCCGCCCUCCACUCUGGGAUAAGCCUGGGAAACUGGGGCUAAUACCGGAGAUGACCGACUGUCGCAUGGGGGUUGGUGGAAAGCUUUUGCGGUUUGGGAUGGGCCCGCGGCUUAUCAGCUUGUUGGUGGGGUAGUGGCCUACCAAGGCGACGACGGGUAGCCGACCUGAGAGGGUGAUCGGCCACACUGGGACUGAGACACGGCCCAGACUCCUACGGGAGGCAGCAGUGGGGAAUAUUGCACAAUGGGCGGAAGCCUGAUGCAGCGACGCCGCGUGAGGGAUGACGGCCUUCGGGUUGUAAACCUCUUUCGCCAGGGACGAAGCGUGAGUGACGGUACCUGGAGAAGAAGCACCGGCUAACUACGUG